AGGCUUGAAUUGUGGUCACUGACCCAUGACAGCUGGCGCCUGAACAGGGACCCCAACAUUGCAUUCAGAGGAGGUGCUCAGGAUAGAGUUGCAGUUGACAUAAUGUCAAAUAUAUCUCCUAUAAAGAUACAAUGGAAAUCUUCUCAGCCAAUUUGGAUCGAGCAAUGGCCUCUAUCAGAAGAAAAGCUACAAGCAGCUGAACAUUUGGUCAACAAACCACUAGAAAAAGGCCUUCAGUAUCUCCAUGGAAUUCGCCUAUCUUUGUCAUCAAAAGGAAAUCAGGAAAAUGGCAAUUGCUCACUGAUUUGCGAGCUGUUAAUGCUUCAAUGCAUCCCAUGGGAGCAUUGCAGCCAGGGUUACCUCAACCUAGUAUGAUUCCUAGAGAUUGGAAGUUACUUAUUAUUGUAGAUUUGCAAGAUUGUUUCUUUACUAUUCCUUUACAUAAAGAUGAUUGUCCAAGGUUUACUUUUUCUUCUUUACCUUAUGUUAAUCUACAGGGACCUCAUCAUCGAUUUCAAUGGACAGUGUUGCCUCAGGGUAUGAUGAAUUCUCCAACUAUAUGUCAGAUGUAUGUUCCUCAAGCUCUAUUUGGUUUAUGUAAACAAUUUCCUUCUAUAAUGAUUAUACAUUAUAUGGAUGAUAUUUUGUUUGCUACUAAAGAUAAUCAAUUAUUAAACAGUUUGCUUUAUACAGUUA
Long non-coding RNA from Nannospalax galili (Upper Galilee mountains blind mole rat), 696 nucleotides. RefSeq lists it as uncharacterized. The record is from RefSeq and is a predicted model, not a curated record. NCBI's taxonomy places the organism in Eukaryota, Metazoa, Chordata, Mammalia, Rodentia, Spalacidae. The transcript has 2 exons.